AUGCUAUGGAAGUCACUCCCAAAGUGUUCCUUUUUCAUUAGGGAAUGUGUAAAUUCACAUCCAUGGACACCCGGUUUGAAGCAGUGGUCAUGCCCAGGCCACGGAGGCAGUCAGUGGAUGAGAUGGCUCCAGGAAACAACACCACAAAGUUAUCAGCGUGAAGUGGAUGAUGAUGUGGUGUCAUUCCCAGAAAGUCUUCUGCUGUUGCUAUCUCGUGAUGCAUCUUGACAGUGUGAUGGCAUCCCGCAGCUCUCUGUGCAUCUUCAGCUCUGUAAGCCUGUGCUCUGUGAAUUCACUGGAGUCAUUUGGACUAUGUUGAUGUGCACCAGUGGAGGACCUGACUCACUCUCUGGUGGCUGCUGUGUGAGCGAUUCGUAUCCUUUGAGUUAAUGAUCCUGGACCUUUAUUCCUCUCUUCUUUCCUCUCAUUUUUUCAGACAUGCCACCUAUUAUUU
RNAcentral lists this long non-coding RNA (454 nucleotides) under Chrysolophus pictus (golden pheasant). Its description in RNAcentral is "lncRNA (ENSCPIG00010005649.1)". Lineage: Eukaryota; Metazoa; Chordata; Aves; Galliformes; Phasianidae. The record is from RNAcentral.